CACAUGCAAGUCGAACGGCAGCACGGGAGCAAUCUGGUGGCGAGUGGCGAACGGGUGAGUAAUACAUCGGAACGUGCCCAGUAGUGGGGGAUAGCCCGGCGAAAGCCGGACUAAUACCGCAUACGACCUACGGGUGAAAGCAGGGGAUCGCAAGACCUUGCGCUAUCGGAGCGGCCGAUGUCAGAUUAGCUUGUUGGCGAGGUAAAAGCCCACCAAGGCGACGAUCUGUAGCUGGUCUGAGAGGACGACCAGCCACACUGGGACUGAGACACGGCCCAGACUCCUACGGGAGGCAGCAGUGGGGAAUUUUGGACAAUGGGCGCAAGCCUGAUCCAGCCAUGCCGCGUGCGGGAAGAAGGCCUUCGGGUUGUAAACCGCUUUUGUCAGGGAAGAAACGCUCCGGGCUAAUACCUCGGAGUAAUGACGGUACCUGAAGAAUAAGCACCGGCUAACUACGUGCCAGCAGCCGCGGUAAUACGUAGGGUGCAAGCGUUAAUCGGAAUUACUGGGCGUAAAGCGUGCGCAGGCGGCUUUGCAAGACAGAUGUGAAAUCCCCGGGCUUAACCUGGGAACUGCAUUUGUGACUGCAUGGCUGGAGUGCGGCAGAGGGGGAUGGAAUUCCGCGUGUAGCAGUGAAAUG
RNAcentral lists this ribosomal RNA (640 nucleotides) under uncultured bacterium. RNAcentral describes it as "bacterial SSU rRNA". It matches the Rfam family "Bacterial small subunit ribosomal RNA", at positions 52 to 688 of the family's 1533-position model. The record is from RNAcentral.